This 984-nucleotide ribosomal RNA is filed under the name Acinetobacter baumannii. RNAcentral's name for it is "bacterial SSU rRNA". It matches the Rfam family "Bacterial small subunit ribosomal RNA", at positions 54 to 1035 of the family's 1533-position model. The record is from RNAcentral. Lineage: Bacteria; Pseudomonadati; Pseudomonadota; Gammaproteobacteria; Moraxellales; Moraxellaceae.
CAUGCAGUCGAGCGGGGAAGGUUGCUUCGGUAACUGACCUAGCGGCGGACGGGUGAGUAAUGCUUAGGAAUCUGCCAUUUAGUGGGGGACAACAUUCCGAAAGGAAUGCUAAUACCGCAUACGUCCUACGGGAGAAAGCAGGGGAUCUUCGGACCUUGCGCUAAAUGAUGAGCCUAAGUCGGAUUAGCUAGUUGGUGGGGUAAAGGCCUACCAAGGCGACGAUCUGUAGCGGGUCUGAGAGGAUGAUCCGCCACACUGGGACUGAGACACGGCCCAGACUCCUACGGGAGGCAGCAGUGGGGAAUAUUGGACAAUGGGCGCAAGCCUGAUCCAGCCAUGCCGCGUGUGUGAAGAAGGCCUUUUGGUUGUAAAGCACUUUAAGCGAGGAGGAGGCUACCUAGACUAAUACUCUAGGAUAGUGGACGUUACUCGCAGAAUAAGCACCGGCUAACUCUGUGCCAGCAGCCGCGGUAAUACAGAGGGUGCGAGCGUUAAUCGGAUUUACUGGGCGUAAAGCGUGCGUAGGCGGCUUUUUAAGUCGGAUGUGAAAUCCCCGAGCUUAACUUGGGAAUUGCAUUCGAUACUGGGAAGCUAGAGUAUGGGAGAGGAUGGUAGAAUUCCAGGUGUAGCGGUGAAAUGCGUAGAGAUCUGGAGGAAUACCGAUGGCGAAGGCAGCCAUCUGGCCUAAUACUGACGCUGAGGUACGAAAGCAUGGGGAGCAAACAGGAUUAGAUACCCUGGUAGUCCAUGCCGUAAACGAUGUCUACUAGCCGUUGGGGCCUUUGAGGCUUUAGUGGCGCAGCUAACGCGAUAAGUAGACCGCCUGGGGAGUACGGUCGCAAGACUAAAACUCAAAUGAAUUGACGGGGGCCCGCACAAGCGGUGGAGCAUGUGGUUUAAUUCGAUGCAACGCGAAGAACCUUACCUGGGCCUUGACAUACUAGAAACUUUCCAGAGAUGGAUUGGUGCCUUGGAAUCUAAUAC